This 1674-nucleotide ribosomal RNA is filed under the name Triticum aestivum (bread wheat). RNAcentral's name for it is "partial small subunit ribosomal RNA". Lineage: Eukaryota; Viridiplantae; Streptophyta; Magnoliopsida; Poales; Poaceae. The record is from RNAcentral.
AUGUUUACGAUGAAUGUGCCCAAAUUCUUGUGGAGUGAAGCAGUUAUGACAGCCACAUACUUGAUCAACAGGACACCAUCAAGAAUACUAAGCAUGAAAUCUCCGUGUGAGCUAGUAUAUGGAGAAACUAAGUUUGUUGUUCCCCCAAAGUUGUUUGGCAGUACUUGUUUUGUUCGAGAUCACCGUCCUUCUGUUGGAAAACUUGAUCCGCGGGCAGUGAAGUGUAUUUUUCUGGGCUAUUCUUCUAGUCAGCAGGGAUAUAAAUGUUGGUGUCCCUCAGAGAAACGCAGGUUUGUCAGUAUGGACGUAACCUUCAGGGAGUCUGAGCCAUUCUAUGGUGAGCCAACAGAUCUAAGUGUGUUGUUUCAAGAGCUUGACCAUUUCCACUCUGUGCAAGAUGGUCAAGAGGGGGAGAAGGCUGUAUCUCACACUCACGCGGAUUCUGUGGGCACUAACAUUGAUGAUGAUGAUGUGCAGGUUCAAGUCCAGCCAAUUGUGGGUACAAUUUCGGUUGGUACUCUCACUGAUGGUGAUGUGCAGGUACGGGUCCAACCAACCGUGGGUUCCAUUCAGAUUGGUAAUCUCCAGCUCCCUGUUCGAGAUCGGUGGCAGAAGAUCCCCCUAGUGUACUCUCGGCGAGAGCCACAAGUGCCACAGGUGCAUGACUCAUCUGACACUCGUCUGGUAUAUUCUCGGCGGCAGCCACUUGUGCAGGAGGGGGAGCAACAAGUGCAGGGGGAGCAGUCAGUGCAGGGGGAGCAGCAAGGCAGUGGUGCAAGCUCAUCUGACACAGUGGAGCUACCUAUUGCGUUGCGAAAGGGGACACGUGAAGCGGCUGAGAAGGCUUUACCACUGGAGUUUUUGGAUGAUCAUGACAUUGGAAAUUUUGUGUCUUAUGAGGCUUUGUCUCCUUCCUAUAGAGUGUUUGUUGCCUCUCUUCAAACUGUGUCAAUCCCAAAGGAUUGGAAGGCUGCAAAGCAAGAUCCGAAGUGGCAUGAAGCAAUGAUAGAAGAGUUGGAAGCACUGAGGAAAAAUAAGACGUGGGUGCUAACCACAUUGCCGGCAGGAAAGAAAGCAGUGAGUUGUAAGUGGAUCUAUACAGUGAAGCAGAAUCCUGAGGGGAAGGUGGAACGGUAUAAGGCCAGAUUGGUCGCCAGAGGAUAUAGUCAAACUUAUGGAAUUGACUAUGACGAGACGUUUGCUCCAGUGGCAAAGAUGAACACAGUAAGAAUAUUGGUUUCCUGUGCUGCAAACUUUGGGUGGAAAUUGCAUCAAUUAGAUGUCAAGAAUGCCUUCUUGCAUGGUGAGUUGCAGGAAGAAGUGUACAUGGAGAUACCACCAGGUUUUGGUACUUCACUGACAACGGGGAAGGUAUGCAGGCUGAAGAAAUCCUUGUAUGGACUGAAGCAAUCGCCGAGGGCUUGGUUUGAUAGGUUCAGGCGUGCUGUCCGUGCUAUGGGGUAUGGUCAAUGUAAUGGUGAUCACACGGUGUUCUACAGACACUCACUCUCUAAUCGAAAGAUCACCAUUCUUGCAGUUUAUGUGGACGACAUUAUCAUCACCGGAGAUGAUGAGGAGGAAAUAAAGAGAUUGAAGGGGUGUCUGAGCAAUGAGUUUGAGGUGAAGGAUUUGGGCAACCUAAAAUACUUCCUUGGGAUUGAAGUGGCCCGGACA